UCACACCUCCCACCUCCUUAUGCAUCCGCCAGAGCCACCGCCUCCCUUCCUCCACAAGCGCCGUGGCGGGAGACGGCGAGAGCCGAGAGCGCCUGGAGAUUAGGGUUCGCCGCCCUUCCGCCGAAGUACCCAAGGUAGCUUGUGUGGAUCUCCCGUCGUCCUAGCCUCCUAGAUCCAGCCACCUUUGCCACGUCCUGGAGACUCCCCCAAGCCUCCUGUUCUCCUCCGAUCUGACUGCUGCCAGGUAAAAACUAAAAGACGAUUUUCAAUUGAACAUCUAUCUAGAAACAUUAAAGUAAUCAAACUGGAGCACAAAUUAACCAACGUUUUGCCCUGAAUUUAACUGAUUUUUUUAUUUAGUGGUCUUGGUUGUUUAUGCAAUCCAAUUAAAUGUUUUACGUGAAGUGUAAACAAUGUAAAGAUCUUGCUUCGCUGGUUAAUCUUGAUUGUCAGUUGUGACUACAUAAAAAGAAUCAAGGACAUGAAACACGCCCUUCUUCUGUGCAUAGCCUUUAUUGUGUGCAUGCAUUAAACAACAUAUCAUACGCGGCUAGAUGAUUGAUGAUUUGUUGUGUAUUUACUCAUUUCUUCUGUCACGGUCUUGUCUUUUUUAUAUAUAAAGAAAAGAAUGUGCUUGCCUCAUUUUCAGUAGCAUACAUAGUCCAAAUGAAAAUUCUGCCUACAAAUUCUGCUCAGUUGUCAGCUAUUAGUUAUAUCUUUACUGUAUUGUGUCCCAUUAUUGAAAUGAAAUCUGAAAUGCACCUCCUUGUUUGUCUUGAGCAGAGCAUUUAUAGUAUCAUAGCUUGGGAAGAAAAUUGCAUGCUAAGAAGUUUAAUGCAGUUGAUUUUGUGAUUGUUGAUUGCAUGUCAAGGGGUGAAAUCUGAAGUGUUGUGCACGCUGUCUGAAAAACAAAAAUGAACAUCAGAAAGUUACUGAUUAAUCUUCAACUAUUAGCUGAAAAAAUCCUGUGAAAUAUGUCAUGAAAUUUUGUCGCAUUCCUUUGUUUCUUUGUGCUUUCAAGUUCCUUUUGUCCCAAAAUAGAUUUUAGCUCACUUUUACUUUACAUAAAUUUUAAGUCAGUUGUUUUAGCAGUAGGAAUCAACCAAGUGCAUUCUUUCCAUUGUCUGCAGUUAAAAAAUUCAUAAUAUACUUGGGAAUUUGCAUAACUUACAUUUUACACACUAGACUAUUGUGGCUGAGUUCAGAAUUUCAGGUGGUGAGCAAUUCUCUUUACAUGCUCGUCACUGAGUUAUUAAUUUAUCUUCUCAGGUUUAACUUUACCGAAAUUUACUAGGACCAUAUACUGUUUUGCUCUGCUCUGCUCUGCUCUAAUAAAAGGAAAGAAAAUACAAGCUAUCAGCAGGCAGCUUCUGUAUGUGGUAGAAGAAUCAUCAUAUGCCAUCAUCUUUGUUAUUGUUAUUUAUAGAUCGGGCUGUUUUCUUUAGGUAUGUCACCGCUUGUUUUUGGUAUUUAUUCGCUUAUUAAUGGUCUGGGUCUCAUCAUGUAACAAUAUGGUUGUUUUGGGGGUGCACAUCAUGUCUGCCAUAUAUGAUCUUGAUUAGUUUCCUUAGACUAGCAAAGAAAAUUAAAUGUUUUUAAUUUUUCAUAGCAUUGUUCUUAACACAAUUAGUUCUCAGGUUUUGAGCUUUGGUGCAUAGAGCUGUGCUUAUAUCUCAUCAACUUCUCACUCUUUAAUUUCUCUAUUCAUUGAAUUAAAAAGCAUAGUAUUGCCUUUUAAUCUUUUCAGGUCUGGCUCAUAGGUUAUCACUUUUAUACUCUUGCGGGUAAUGGAUACUAAUGUUUGGUGAAGAAAUGGUACAAAUUAAAGUUAGGAAUUUUUUGCAACUUUGCAGUGACCCUCACCCUCUUCCGUCCUUCAACUUGUGGACAAAUUCAACUUGUGGACAAAUUAGAUUUUGCCUCUAAAAACUAACUUGUUCAGUUAGUGUUUAUUGGUUUCAGUUCAAUCUUUAUGCUGAAGAGUAAGAAGAAAAACAUGUUGAAUUGGUGAAAUGAAAGAGAUGAGUAAUGCAGAAAUUGUAAAUUUCAGACAAGGAUUUCACUCUGAAUUUCUGAUCUUCAUGCAUUCGCAUCAUAUGAAGCCUGAUAUUGUGCUGCACUUGUUUUGAUCUUGAGCUGUAGGACUGCAACUGCAAUACAAACAAGCUGUUUCACAGUCUCUUAGAUAGUCAACUUGCAAUUGAUCAGCCAUUCAACCAACCGUGGCUCCUGAAUUUCCGAUAGUUAUAUUCUCUCCAAUACCCUUCCUAAGCCAGGGGGAGAAACCACCGUGAGCCAAACGAGCCCUGUGUAGGUUUCAUCCCCACACAGUCACCCUCUCUCCUCCCUUCCCCAAAACCACCCCAAAUGGAAGGGGGUUUUGUUGGCAUUGUGUUGUAGAUCGAUUGGAAAGGUAAACCCCUAGGGAGAACACUAAUUUUGUCAAUUGGUUCGCAUGGAUGAUUGAUAUGCGAUGGUGAGAAUUUAUUAACCUUUUCAAAACCCUAAUUUACGUAAUGUUUUACAUUUUCGUUAUUGAUUUGGUUCUUGCCGUGAUUUGGGGAAUAUGGCUGGCGAUGUUUUGUCAACCGAAAGUAUAUAUGUUAUACUGUUUAUUUUUAGUUCGGAGUUGAACCGAUGGUUUGAUGAAAAAGUGAUUUAGGUUAAAUUGCAAUAUAUGUAGCAACAAAAUUAUUUGUAAUUUUAUGAUGGUUAGGAAAGACUAUGUCGACUAUUCUUUGGAACAACUACCACCACCGAGUGUAAAACACCCAAUGUGUUGGUGUGGGAUGAUUAUUGUUUUUAGAUCAGUCAUGACCGGGAUACUUCUGUGCUGAGGUACUGGAUGUGCCGCAACUAUGCGUACAGUCCUAAGAAACAUAAUCCUAUGCCUAAGGGAAAGAAGGGGAGGGCAAAAAUGGCAGUGAAGGUAAUGUUGUUUAAUAUUAUUGUUUUGUCUUGAAUAUUUGCAACUUUGUCGUCAAGAUAUAAUCUAUGAUGUAAUGUGUAGUAAACUGGGAUCCCGCCUUCUCGUUGUGACUUUAUCGAGUGGAUUGAUAAGGAGAUGGAUGUGUUCCAUACCAGAAUGAUUCACUAAUGGCGCGAGUGGAAGAAAGAACAUGAGGAGCGCCAACGCUAGGGAGUUGGAGCUAAUGAAGUUGACAAGACAUAAUAGGGAGAUGGAAGAAUGAGCUCAAGAUCAAACAAGGAAGUUGGCUAGGGCGCAACUUGCAAAUGAUGCGGACUUGAAAGCGGCAAGGAAGGGCAAGUACUCGUGGUGCACCCAGCACUGCAAUGGAAGUUGUUACCCAAAUUUCAAUUCACUAAGACAUUCAAUAGCAAUAUUAUACGACGUUACACGCUGAACCGUGUGCGUGUAAUAUUGAUAGUUUGUUGCCUUUUGCAUUGACAACAAUGUGUUUCAUUGAAAUGUCUCCUUUCAGAUCUUCUGUUCGGUUUGAAUUCCUUAAGAUGUGAUAACGAAAGCAUCCACAACUGAGUAUCUAUCAAUAUCCAAUUCUAUUGUGUUAUAUUACGCCACA
This 3542-nucleotide long non-coding RNA is filed under the name Oryza brachyantha (malo sina). Its description in RNAcentral is "long non-coding RNA (OBRA_LNC002835)". Lineage: Eukaryota; Viridiplantae; Streptophyta; Magnoliopsida; Poales; Poaceae. The record is from RNAcentral.